This is a long non-coding RNA of Stegastes partitus (bicolor damselfish), 741 nucleotides long. RefSeq lists it as uncharacterized. The transcript is spliced from 2 exons. Lineage: Eukaryota; Metazoa; Chordata; Actinopteri; Pomacentridae. The record is from RefSeq and is a predicted model, not a curated record.
GCUGCUGUUGCUACUUAAGUCAUUCGACAUCAGGCUGCUGGACACACAACAGCUCAGGGAGGCGGAUAGCAGCAGUGAGCUCUCUUCUCUCGUAGGAUGAACACUUUCCCAGCGCUCACAGAAGAGAAGAAACCCAUCUGAACUCGCUGACAUACAGAAACACUUUCAUCGAACCUGUCGUUAGAAAGUGCUUCAGCCUCGAAGAGCGAAAACAAACCACAACAGACGGUACACAGCAGCCGAUCCUCCGGAUUCUCUCCUUUUCCUCUGGAACCAUGGUGUCAGCGGUCAUUAAGAUGUAUCUGUUUGGAUCGGUGCUUUCCAUCUUCGCUGUCUUCUAUGCCAUCGUGGACUCCUUCGGCGGCCUCAUGUACGUCCAGGACCAUCACUACAGCCGACCGGCGGAUGUGGACCUCCACACCGAAAGGCAGCUCCCCUCAACCGGCCACCGGAGAGGAGCGUCUGUAAACAGAAACAUGGGCUCAUGAGGAAGUUGCGCCACUCAACUUGUUGGACAUGCUCUGCACUUUGAAAAGACUGUUUGUUGACACGGAUGCGUCGCCCCACAGGAUGUUCUGUUUUAUACCAUCUGCUGUCCAGAACUGUGGCAGCUAGACUGUGUCAAAUCAACUACAAAUCUGUUGACAAAUGUUACAGCACUACUGAACAAUUUGCACUAAAGUUUGAAUGUUGUGACUUUUUUUUUCUUUUUCUUUUUUCAAUAAAAUGAUUAACAAAACA